RNAcentral lists this long non-coding RNA (1506 nucleotides) under Oryza sativa (Asian cultivated rice). Its description in RNAcentral is "long non-coding RNA (OSAT_LNC001751)". Lineage: Eukaryota; Viridiplantae; Streptophyta; Magnoliopsida; Poales; Poaceae. The record is from RNAcentral.
UCUCAAUAAAUUUGUCUCGCGAAUUAGUCCAGGUUAUGGAAUGAGUUUUAUUAUUAGUCUACAUUUAAUACCUAUAAUUAGUGUCCAAACAUCCGAUCUGAUAGGGACUAAAAUUUUAGUCCCUAAUCCAAACAGCCCCUAUGUUCUUAAUACUCCUUCUACUUUCCCAACUCACCUUCCUCGUUUUUUUUGUGCGCACGCUUUUCAAACUACUAAACGGUGUGUUUUUUUUAAAAAAAAAAUCUAUAUGAAAGUUACUUAAAAAAUCAUACUAAACGUUGGAGUACUUCGUUUCGCGUGCUAGGCGCCUAGGCCUCCCGAACACAGCGGGAUGGCGUGGGUAAGGGAGGGGUAGAAUGGUCAAUCGCGUCGUCCUCUCCGUCCGUCCGUCCCUGGACUGCAGGGAUUGCAGAUGGAUGGUUCUCACGUCGUCCGGAGUUGUUGUUGCGUGAGAUCCGAGGCUCUUCACUGUCAGUUAUUACUUCGCCCGAGAGGCUGUCACCAAUUCAAAGAAAGGAACGUGUCCUGCGUUUCCGAGCGGUGUGGUGGGGCCCGCUUGCUGUCACGUCUGUCCUCCUGUGCGUCCUUCUCCCAUCUCCCAGGGCCUUCAAUUCCCUGCAUUGUUGGGGGUUGGUUAGCCGGUAGUACACACCCUCGGUAAAAAAAAAAAAAGCCCAACCACUGCUAACACAACGAAUUUUGAUGAAGGGAUUACUCCAAACUAGGAUGUUCUAGGCAUUAAAAAAAACUCAAACCUCGUGGCUUAAUUUGCUCAUAUCAGUAUCAAACUUAGGUCAAAUUGACUUACAAACUCGAAGUCAUAACAAGACAAGUUAAAUUGGGAUUUUAUCUCAUCAGCUCGCACGUUUCCUAAACUGCCAAAUGGUACUUGUUUGAGAAUUUUUUUAUUGGAAAGUUGUUUUAAAAAUUAUAUUAGUUUUUUUAAAGUUUUUUACUAAUAUUUAAUUAAUCAUACGCUAAUAUAUGCUUCAUUUUGUGUGCUAGAGAAACCCCUCCUAAACACAGAAGAAAAAAAAAGAUCACCAAUUUACCAUGUGUUCAUACAGUUGCGUUAAUUUGCUCGUUUUUCGUGAGCAUAUGCUUUAUGAAAUAAUAAGCAAUACUCCCUCCUUUUCACAAUGUAAGUAAUUCUAGCAUAUCUAUAUUCAUAUUGAUGUUAAUGUCUAGAUUCAUUAACAUUAAUAUGAAUGUGAGAAAUGCUAGAAUGACUUACAUUGUGAAACGGAGGAAAUAUGUUUUGUGCACAAGUUUUAAUUGUAUAUAAGUUUAUUAUAAAAUAUAAAAGAAACUAUUGGCCCAAAAGUCUACCUGCACUGCGUAAGAGAGAAGACACGGGCUCAAAAGGAAAAAAAAAACAAAACAAAAAUGUUGCUACCUGUGGCCAUACAAAGUCAGCGACGUGACAGGACUACAAAACAUGCCGGAAGGAGGAGUACCUGUCCUGGAAACGUGGCAAGCUGUUGGUUGUUUCUUCAGCAUACGUGC